Molecule: ribosomal RNA, 253 nt
Filed under: uncultured bacterium
Lineage: Bacteria
Description: partial 16S ribosomal RNA
Rfam family: Bacterial small subunit ribosomal RNA
Source: RNAcentral
UACGGAGGGUGCGAGCGUUAUCCGGAUUCACUGGGUUUAAAGGGUGCGUAGGUGGGAAUGUAAGUCAGUGGUGAAAUCUCCGUGCUUAACACGGAAACUGCCAUUGAUACUAUGUUUCUUGAAUUUUCUGGAGGUUAGCGGAAUAUGUCAUGUAGAGGUGAAAUGCUUAGAUAUGACAUAGAACACCGAUUGCGAAGGCAGCUAACUACAGGGAUAUUGACACUGAGGCACGAAAGCGUGGGGAUCAAACAGG